This 253-nucleotide ribosomal RNA is filed under the name uncultured bacterium. RNAcentral's name for it is "partial 16S ribosomal RNA". It matches the Rfam family "Bacterial small subunit ribosomal RNA", at positions 524 to 776 of the family's 1533-position model. The record is from RNAcentral.
UACGGGGGGAGCAAGCGUUGUUCGGAUUCACUGGGCGUAAAGGGUGCGUAGGUGGCCAGGUAAGUUUGGUGUGAAAGCUCGGAGCUUAACUCCGAAAAGUCAUUGAAUACUAUCUGGCUGGAGGGUCGGAGGGGAGACUGGAAUUCUCGGUGUAGCAGUGAAAUGCGUAGAUAUCGAGAGGAACACCAGUGGCGAAGGCGAGUCUCUGGACGACUCCUGACACUGAGGCACGAAAGCUAGGGGAGCAAACAGG